Non-coding RNA from Dallia pectoralis (Alaska blackfish), 74 nucleotides. The record is from the annotation of a GenBank genome assembly. Lineage: Eukaryota; Metazoa; Chordata; Actinopteri; Esociformes; Umbridae.
GGCAAUGUGGCUUAGUUGGUUAGAGUGCAUCUCUCGUAAACAAGAUAUCCUGAGUUGUAAUCUCUGUGGUGCCU